RNAcentral lists this ribosomal RNA (253 nucleotides) under uncultured bacterium. Its description in RNAcentral is "partial 16S ribosomal RNA". It matches the Rfam family "Bacterial small subunit ribosomal RNA", at positions 524 to 776 of the family's 1533-position model. The record is from RNAcentral.
UACGGAGGAUGCAAGCGUUAUCCGGAAUGAUUGGGCGUAAAGCGUCCGCAGGUGGCUAUGUAAGUCUGCUGUUAAAGAGUGAGGCUCAACCUCAUAAGAGCAGUGGAAACUACAUGGCUAGAGUGCGUUCGGGGCAGAGGGAAUUCCUGGUGUAGCGGUGAAAUGCGCAGAUAUCAGGAGGAACACCGAUGGCGAAGGCAGGUCUCUGGGCUGACACUGACGCUCAUGCACGAAAGCGUGGGGAGCAAACAGG